Rhea pennata is the source of this 150-nucleotide long non-coding RNA. RefSeq lists it as uncharacterized. The transcript has 3 exons. The record is from RefSeq and is a predicted model, not a curated record. NCBI's taxonomy places the organism in Eukaryota, Metazoa, Chordata, Aves, Rheiformes, Rheidae.
UGGGAGGUUGCGCGCGGCUGCGGCCGCCAUGAGGGGCGCGGUGGCGGCCAGGUCCCGGUUGAAGCCCCCCCCCCGGAUCCAGAGCUGGGACCAGGCAGGUGACGGCGAGGGACCACCGGCGCGGACGCGGGUGACAAUAAAGCGGUGACA